Molecule: long non-coding RNA, 514 nt
Organism: Panicum virgatum (switchgrass)
Lineage: Eukaryota; Viridiplantae; Streptophyta; Magnoliopsida; Poales; Poaceae
Exons: 3
Source: RefSeq, a predicted model, not a curated record
AAUGUCUCCAUUGUCACUUUUCUUUCUUUGGGGUUGAUUGUGUAUGUUUGUUUGUUUGUGUUGCGCCAACUUAAUGGACUCAUUUGGCCUUCAGAUGAAAGUUUGAAAGCUGGUAAACAUCAGGAGCUCCAUCAGAACUGUCCACUUCAGACAAGUGGGAAGCAAGGCACAACUAAGCAUUCAAGUCAUGUAGGCAGUGCCCCAGGACUUGAAUCCAAGGAAGAACCCAAUGGAGGUCACUGCUUCUGAUGAUCACAAUCAUUAUCCAAAAAGACAACGGACAAGUGGGGCUUUUGCUGAAGCUAGCAUGACGCCGGUGAUUAUUGGGUCUUGAGCGGGGGAUUAUUGCAGCAUGAACUUCGCGUGCUCUGCAGAGACAGCCGAGUGUUGUUAGAUGUCCACUUCUAUUAGAUAUGCAGCUGUUUAUUAGUUGCUACUUCUAUGUUGAGUUAUCACACCACACAGCGGCAAUGUCCACUUCUUAGAACUUAAUGCUAAGUUUCGUGCGUGCAAA